CCUACGGGAGGCAGCAGUGGGGAAUAUUGCACAAUGGGGGAAACCCUGAUGCAGCGACGCCGCGUGAGUGAAGAAGUAUUUCGGUAUGUAAAGCUCUAUCAGCAGGGAAGAAAAUGACGGUACCUGAUAAGAAACCCCCGGCGAACUACCUGCCAGCAGCCGCGGUAAUACGUAGGGGCCAGCCGUUUCCCGGAUUUAUUGGGUGUAAGGGAAGCGUGGACGGCAGCACAAGUCUGGAGUGAAAUGCCGGGGCUUAACCCCGGAACUGCUUUGGAAACUGUGCAGCUAGAGUGCAGGAGAGGUAAGUGGAAUUCCUAGUGUAGCGGUGAAAUGCGUAGAUAUUAGGAGGAACACCAGUGGCGAAGGCGGCUUACUGGACUGUAACUGACGUUGAGGCUCGAAAGCGUGGGGAGCAAACAGGAUUAGAUACCCGAGUAGUC
RNAcentral lists this ribosomal RNA (440 nucleotides) under uncultured bacterium. Its description in RNAcentral is "partial 16S ribosomal RNA". It matches the Rfam family "Bacterial small subunit ribosomal RNA", at positions 338 to 795 of the family's 1533-position model. The record is from RNAcentral.